AUUCUACUCCCUCCAUUGCACAAUACAUGCCUUCUAUUUGUCAAAAUAUAUAUGUAUCUAGACAUAUUUUAGUAUAUAGGUACAUCCAUUUUUGGACAAAUGGAAGUCAAAUAUUUUGGAAUAGAGGGAGUACACA
This is a non-coding RNA of Triticum aestivum (bread wheat), 136 nucleotides long. The record is from Rfam. Lineage: Eukaryota; Viridiplantae; Streptophyta; Magnoliopsida; Poales; Poaceae.